Molecule: ribosomal RNA, 135 nt
Filed under: uncultured bacterium
Lineage: Bacteria
Description: partial 16S ribosomal RNA
Rfam family: Bacterial small subunit ribosomal RNA
Source: RNAcentral
UAAGGGAUAUUGCACAAUGGGCGCAAGCCUGAUGCAGCAACGCCGCGUGCCCGAUGAAGGCCUUCGGGUCGUAAAGGGCUUUUCUAGUCGAGGAAUAAGACUGUAGGCUAGGAAUAAGUGUCGGCUAACUACGUG